Molecule: unclassified non-coding RNA, 595 nt
Filed under: Hevea brasiliensis (rubber tree)
Lineage: Eukaryota; Viridiplantae; Streptophyta; Magnoliopsida; Malpighiales; Euphorbiaceae
Source: RNAcentral
GGUAGGAUUGUAGGACCUAACAAUUUGAGCUACUAUACAAAGACAAAACAAGAGGUCUGGCUUCCCAAAAAGAGGUGGUUAAUAAAUAGUCAUAGCCGUUGUGGGGACCCCACCAUUUUAACUUUGCUUCAAGUCCAACCACAACCGCACUUUUUCAUCCAAUCCCUUUUUUCCACAUCCUCGCUUGCGUCCAUCCAGCCAAUCUCGCUAGAAUUGAAGCAAUAUAUUUAUGGAAAUUUUACAAAGAUGAAGGUCUACUUUCUAGUUGCUACUUCAUCUUAUGCAUACUUUUGUCCUACUUCCCCAAGCUUCCAUCUCUGAUGCCAGGAGCCAUCCAAGUUUCAGGUACUAGAGUACUAUAUCUUCUUAACCAUAAUUCAAACCUGGCAAUUACUUUGAUGCUUGUUUUGUUUCAAAUCCAGUUCUGGAAUUCAUGGCUCUUCAAUCAUCGUCAUCCCUUGCACAAAUGUCCAUAAAGAUUUCCAUGGGUAAAAGAGAGCAUCAAACUUGGGAUAAGGGGGAGUUCUCUUUUCCAUUAACAACUCUUCGCGACAAUUUGAUAGUUACACUUCAGGCUGCUCAAGGAAAAGAAAUA